This 484-nucleotide ribosomal RNA is filed under the name uncultured bacterium. RNAcentral describes it as "bacterial SSU rRNA". It matches the Rfam family "Bacterial small subunit ribosomal RNA", at positions 28 to 509 of the family's 1533-position model. The record is from RNAcentral.
GAUGAACGCUAGCGGCAGGCUUAACACAUGCAAGUCGAGGGGCAGCACUGGUAGCAAUACCUGGUGGCGACCGGCAAACGGGUGCGGAACACGUACAGAACCUACCUUGAUCUGGGGCAUAGCCCGAAGAAAUUCGGAUUAACUCCCCAUAAUAUAAUUGGAUGGCAUCAUUUGGUUAUUAAAAUUUAUUGGAUCGAGAUGGCUGUGCGUCCCAUUAGCUAGUUGGAGGGUAACGGCCUACCAAGGCGACGAUGGGUAGCUGGUGUGAGAGCACGACCAGCCACACGGGCACUGAGACACGGGCCCGACUCCUACGGGAGGCAGCAGUGAGGAAUAUUGGUCAAUGGACGCAAGUCUGAACCAGCCAUGCCGCGUGAAGGAUGAAGGCCUUCUGGGUUGUAAACUUCUUUUAUCUGGGAAGAAAACUACGAUUUCUAUUGUAGCCGACGGUACCAGAGGAAUAAGCACCGGCUAACUCCGUGCC